AGCGGUGGAGCAUGUGGUUUAAUUCGAAGCUACGCGAAGAACCUUACCAGGUCUUGACAUCUUCUGACAGUCUAAGAGAUUAGAGGUUCCCUUCGGGGACAGAAUGACAGGUGGUGCAUGGUUGUCGUCAGCUCGUGUCGUGAGAUGUUGGGUUAAGUCCCGCAACGAGCGCAACCCUUAUUACUAGUUGCCAGCAUUAAGUUGGGCACUCUAGUGAGACUGCCGGUGACAAACCGGAGGAAGGUGGGGACGACGUCAAAUCAUCAUGCCCCUUAUGACCUGGGCUACACACGUGCUACAAUGGAUGGUACAACGAGUCGCGAGACCGCGAGGUUAAGCUAAUCUCUUAAAACCAUUCUCAGUUCGGACUGUAGGCUGCAACUCGCCUACACGAAGUCGGAAUCGCUAGUAAUCGCGGAUCAGCAUGCCGCGGUGAAUACGUUCCCGGGCCUUGUACACACCGCCCGUCACACCAUGAGAGUUUGUAACACC
RNAcentral lists this ribosomal RNA (492 nucleotides) under Pediococcus pentosaceus. Its description in RNAcentral is "bacterial SSU rRNA". It matches the Rfam family "Bacterial small subunit ribosomal RNA", at positions 928 to 1421 of the family's 1533-position model. Lineage: Bacteria; Bacillati; Bacillota; Bacilli; Lactobacillales; Lactobacillaceae. The record is from RNAcentral.